RNAcentral lists this long non-coding RNA (603 nucleotides) under Numida meleagris (helmeted guineafowl). Its description in RNAcentral is "lncRNA (ENSNMEG00000013899.1)". Lineage: Eukaryota; Metazoa; Chordata; Aves; Galliformes; Numididae. The record is from RNAcentral.
AUCUUCCUCAACUUCAUCACGAACACUGGGGCCUGAUUUUGUGGGUCACCUUUUUAAUAGCCUUGUAUUCUUAUGCUAGUAAUUUCUUAGGUACAACUCGUUGCAAGUGUGAUUUCUUAGAUGCAUGAGGAACAAACCGCCCCUGCAUGUGUCGUGCUUUUGUCAUGCAGGUGAUGAAAACUGUGUGCAACCCAGGCUCCCACGCCAUCAUCCAGCAGCCAAACUGAAGCCCACCUGCCUCCUCACUGAGUGUCAAGAUGUGCUUUUCACCCUCAAUUUCUUUUACAUGUGAAGUUCCAUUGUAUGUGGUGGAUGGCGUAAUUCUUAGACUGAGCGAGCAUCAGAAGCUAUUCCCGAUUUCAAGAGUCCAAAUGCUCAAUCUGUGCUCUGAGCUGUUUGACAGUCUGCUUGAGACUGUACUGCAAAUCAGUGGCAGUGCUGGGCAUGUACCUGAGCAGCUUUCUUCCACCUUACCUCGUUCAGAAGUCACAUUUUACAUGUUUGUAAAUGAAAUAUUUUAAGUGUCUCUGUUGAACAGUUCAGCACUGCAAGGAACUGAUCAGUUGAAAUAAAUAUCAUAGCUAUAGAAAUAGUCUGCCUUCA